UACGGGGGGGGGCAAGCGUUGUUCGGAAUUACUGGGCGUAAAGGGCUCGUAGGCGGCCAACUAAGUCCGACGUGAAAUCCCCAGGCUUAACCUGGGAACUGCGUCGGAUACUGGAUGGCUUGAAUUCGGGAGAGGGAUGCAGAAUUCCAGGUGUAGCGGUGAAAUGCGUAGAUAUCUGGAGGAAUACCGGUGGCGAAGGCGGCAUCCUGGACCGACAUUGACGCUGAUGAGCGAAAGCUAGGGGAGCAAAUGGG
RNAcentral lists this ribosomal RNA (254 nucleotides) under uncultured bacterium. Its description in RNAcentral is "partial 16S ribosomal RNA". It matches the Rfam family "Bacterial small subunit ribosomal RNA", at positions 524 to 776 of the family's 1533-position model. The record is from RNAcentral.